Long non-coding RNA from Mustela putorius furo (domestic ferret), 2050 nucleotides. The record is from Ensembl. Lineage: Eukaryota; Metazoa; Chordata; Mammalia; Carnivora; Mustelidae.
UUUAAGUUGCAUAUGAAAUCAUUUCUUUUCUGUGUACCUUUAUCCAAAUACACAUGAGCACUAAGAUUUUUACAGUAUUUCAUUGUCAAUAAAUUUGGAAAAUACUAGCAUGGUGCCACCAUGAUUGGCGUGGCUGGGGCCUAAUUUAUAACUUUGUAGUAACUUGUGACUUAAACUCACCAAAUUGUCAUACACUCAAAAUGUCUUUGAUUUGGAAAUGCUAAUCAUUGUCUUUCUCUCAACAGAACUGGUUAGGUCGAAGAGAGGGCUCCAAGCCUUGACCAAGAGGCCCAUUGUGAUCGCUGCCUUUGUCCACGGCUGGUGCUGCUUGACCGUGAGCCUAGUAUCGAUUAGGUCAAGCUCAACAUGCUCAGCCUUCACCACGGAUUUUUUACUGGACGCAAAUGGAAUAGUUGGAGUCAGAGAGCUGCCCUAUGUCUAAAAAAUGCACAAAAUAACCUUAUGGAAGAAGGAAGCCCAAAGGCAGAGAAUUCUUCUGAAAUAACCUGAUUCAUAGGUAUGUAUGAACAUCUCUCUCUCUCUUUUUCUAUAUAUAUAUAUAUGCCUCAGAUAUAUAUAUACACACACACACAUAUAUAGCUAUGAUAUACACUGUAUUCCCAGAGAAUCUGUGCUACUGUUAAGUUGUUGGUCAUCACUAAACAAGAUCCUCAGUAUUUUCCACCAAUCCUACUAGAUCUUUCAUAUUUGCCACAGCUCUUUCUCAUUCCUACAGCAAUCAAUCACCAAGUCUCAUCAGUGCUCCCUCCUAAAUUCCUCCCCAGUCCACUUGAUUUCAUGCAUUCCCAGGGCUUCUCCAGGGUUCUGACCACAUCCCUUCCCUAUUGAUUACAGCACUAAAGUCCCAAUGAGUUUUCCUAUCUUUCCUACUGUUCCUCAUCUUUUCUGCAUUUCAGUAAUCAUCUGGGACUUCUCUUGACUUCUAAGACAUGUCACAUUCUCUUCCUCCACAAUUUUCCACAUGUCUUCCUAUUCCCUGAAACACUUUUUCUCUCUAUUCUUUAUUUAGACCGUAUCUAAUUAUACUGCAGGUUCCCAACUAAAUAUCACCUUUUUAGUGUGUCAUUUCCAGAUGUGUAGGUCUGUUUAGGUUCCCUUCCUGUAUGUUCUAUCAUAAUCGUCAAUUUGAUUUAUUGCAUUUAUUUGUUGAAUGUGUCUUCCCUGCUAGUCUGUAAAUUAAAUUCCUUGAGGGUAAGGAGAGUCUUCCUCAUUCCUGUGCUCUCAGUUCCAGAGUUCCAUUCCAGGAAUCCACAACCCUCCCAGGACUCUAUUUUCCUUCCUGCUUUUCUCCUUGCCAAACCCCCCAGAACCUUUAUCUCGUCUGGGAGAGGUUGAGAAACCUCUUCUUACACAACCUGCUUUCUUCUGAAUACUUUGUCUUUGCCAAGGCCAAAUCUUUUGAAACGCAAAAGCACAGAAUUGAUCUUUGUGUUCUCUGUAUUCUGCUGUUUCAUCCCUCUGCCAAGAUAAUAGCUGAUGGAAUGGCAGACAAGUAUGGGGUAGAGGAGUAUGUUUGUUGGGGAGAGAAGAGCAAUCCAAUGUUAUCUCAACCGUCAGUCACCUCACAUUCAUAGUUAGCACCUUACCCAAGGAUGUUGACGUCUGUCCUCCAUGACUUCUGGAUCCAGUCCCACACUGCUUAGGUUCUCCCUUCAAGACUAAAAGUCUUAUUCUCCCAGAAGCUGGGAAUUUUGCUUGCUGAUAGCCAUCAGCUUUUAGCUCUCUCUGGGAAUUUCCCUCAGCCUUAAACAGCCUCCUUUCCUAGAGUGGGGUCCCUUCCCUUAAAGCAUAUCAUAUUCAGUAUAAAGGCAGGCCCCUUUCCCUAACCCAAUCCGAGGAGUUGACUUAUCUUGUUGUGACUACAUUACAGCCCAUCUUCUUGAGCCUAUCCUGCCUCCUUCCCUCCGCUGGAAAUGCCAGUCCCAAGAAAAGUCCAGUAAAUUUUGUGCACACAGAUCUCUAUCUCGGGGUCUCCUUCCUGGGAGGCUUGUCCUGCAACAGCCAACUUUAGACUCCUUCUGCCUGUAAA